RNAcentral lists this transfer RNA (70 nucleotides) under Cheirogaleus medius (lesser dwarf lemur). Its description in RNAcentral is "tRNA-His". It matches the Rfam family "tRNA". Rfam says of the family: Transfer RNA (tRNA) molecules are approximately 80 nucleotides in length. Their secondary structure includes four short double-helical elements and three loops (D, anti-codon, and T loops). Lineage: Eukaryota; Metazoa; Chordata; Mammalia; Primates; Cheirogaleidae. The record is from RNAcentral.
GUACUGUAAAUAUAGUUUAAGCAAAACCCUAGAUUGUGAAUCUAGCAAUAGAGGCUUAAAAUCCUCUUGU